AACGCUAGCUACAGGCUUAACACAUGCAAGUCGAGGGGCAGCAUGGUCUUAGCUUGCUAAGGCCGAUGGCGACCGGCGCACGGGUGAGUAACACGUAUCCAACCUGCCGUCUACUCUUGGACAGCCUUCUGAAAGGAAGAUUAAUACAAGAUGGCAUCAUGAGUCCGCAUGUUCACAUGAUUAAAGGUAUUCCGGUAGACGAUGGGGAUGCGUUCCAUUAGAUAGUAGGCGGGGUAACGGCCCACCUAGUCUUCGAUGGAUAGGGGUUCUGAGAGGAAGGUCCCCCACAUUGGAACUGAGACACGGUCCAAACUCCUACGGGAGGCAGCAGUGAGGAAUAUUGGUCAAUGGGCGAGAGCCUGAACCAGCCAAGUAGCGUGAAGGAUGACUGCCCUAUGGGUUGUAAACUUCUUUUAUAAAGGAAUAAAGUCGGGUAUGCAUACCCGUUUGCAUGUACUUUAUGAAUAAGGAUCGGCUAACUCCGUGCCAGCAGCCGCGGUAAUACGGAGGAUCCGAGCGUUAUCCGGAUUUAUUGGGUUUAAAGGGAGCGUAGAUGGAUGUUUAAGUCAGUUGUGAAAGUUUGCGGCUCAACCGUAAAAUUGCAGUUGAUACUGGAUAUCUUGAGUGCAGUUGAGGCAGGCGGAAUUCGUGGUGUAGCGGUGAAAUGCUUAGAUAUCACGAAGAACUCCGAUUGCGAAGGCAGCCUGCUAAGCUGCAACUGACAUUGAGGCUCGAAAGUGUGGGUAUCAAACAGAAUUAGAUACCCUGGUAGUCCACACGGUAAACGAUGAAUACUCGCUGUUUGCGAUAUACAGCAAGCGGCCAAGCGAAAGCGUUAAGUAUUCCACCUGGGGAGUACGCCGGCAACGGUGAAACUCAAAGGAAUUGACGGGGGCCCGCACAAGCGGAGGAACAUGUGGUUUAAUUCGAUGAUACGCGAGGAACCUUACCCGGGCUUAAAUUGCAGAUGAAUUACGGUGAAAGCCGUAAGCCGCAAGGCAUCUGUGAAGGUGCUGCAUGGUUGUCGUCAGCUCGUGCCGUGAGGUGUCGGCUUAAGUGCCAUAACGAGCGCAACCCUUGUUGUCAGUUACUAACAGGUUCCGCUGAGGACUCUGACAAGACUGCCAUCGUAAGAUGUGAGGAAGGUGGGGAUGACGUCAAAUCAGCACGGCCCUUACGUCCGGGGCUACACACGUGUUACAAUGGGGGGUACAGAGGGCCGCUACCACGCGAGUGGAUGCCAAUCCCCAAAACCUCUCUCAGUUCGGACUGGAGUCUGCAACCCGACUCCACGAAGCUGGAUUCGCUAGUAAUCGCGCAUCAGCCCCGGCGCGGUGAAUACGUUCCCGGGCCUUGUNC
RNAcentral lists this ribosomal RNA (1359 nucleotides) under uncultured organism. RNAcentral describes it as "SSU rRNA". It matches the Rfam family "Bacterial small subunit ribosomal RNA", at positions 32 to 1386 of the family's 1533-position model. The record is from RNAcentral.